RNAcentral lists this non-coding RNA (74 nucleotides) under Solobacterium moorei. RNAcentral describes it as "Fluoride sequence". It matches the Rfam family "Fluoride riboswitch aptamer (crcB RNA motif)". Lineage: Bacteria; Bacillati; Bacillota; Erysipelotrichia; Erysipelotrichales; Erysipelotrichaceae. The record is from RNAcentral. RNAcentral also lists the same sequence under 1 other name.
AUUUCUGACGGAAAUGGGGUUUUCCAAGAUUAUAAAUCUAAACUGCUAUAAGUGCUGAUAACUCCUGUAACUUC